CAGCAGCCACGGGAAUACGAAGGGGGCUAGCGUUGCUCGGAAUUACUGGGCGUAAAGCGUGCGCAGGCGGUGUUGUAAGACUGAUGUGAAAUCCCCGGGCUCAACCUGGGAACUGCAUUGGUGACUGCAACGCUGGAGUGCGGCAGAGGGGGAUGGAAUUCCGCGUGUAGCAGUGAAAUGCGUAGAUAUGCGGAGGAACACCGAUGGCGAAGGCAAUCCCCUGGGCCUGCACUGACGCUCAUGCACGAAAGCGUGGGGAGCAAACAGGAUUAGAUACCCCGGUAGUCCCUGUCUCUUAUAC
This 301-nucleotide ribosomal RNA is filed under the name uncultured bacterium. RNAcentral describes it as "partial 16S ribosomal RNA". It matches the Rfam family "Bacterial small subunit ribosomal RNA", at positions 509 to 807 of the family's 1533-position model. The record is from RNAcentral.